This 268-nucleotide ribosomal RNA is filed under the name uncultured bacterium. Its description in RNAcentral is "partial 16S ribosomal RNA". It matches the Rfam family "Bacterial small subunit ribosomal RNA", at positions 793 to 1055 of the family's 1533-position model. The record is from RNAcentral.
GUCCACGCUGUAAACGAUGGGCGCUAGGUGUGGUGGGUUUUUAAUCCCUCCGUGCCGCAGCUAACGCAUUAAGCGCCCCGCCUGGGGACUACGGCCGCAAGGUUAAAACUCAAAGGAAUUGACGGGGGCCCGCACAAGCGGUGGAGCAUGUGGUUUAAUUCGACGCAACGCGAAGAACCUUACCUUGGCUUGACAUGUGAGGAACCUCAGGGAAACCUGGGGGUGCCCAGCAAUGGGAACCUCAGCACAGGUGCUGCAUGGCUGUCGU